GCAAUAGCCCCUCCCCCUCCAGAGCCAAGCCUGCGGCCUUGUUCUGCCCGCCCUUUGCCAUCUACCACGUACGGUGGAAUGUCGCUCUAGGAGCUGGCUGCGGACCAGACGUGGAGCAUCGCCAGGUCGUCUGCGGGUCUCAGAGACUCCCGGUCUUGACCACGGCCUUGAGAAGCCCUCAAGUCCUCUCUGCCUGAAGUCGGGAUUGUAUCUGACCUGUUGUGCGAAGUGAACAUCCUGCUUUUCCAAGUGAAAAACCACCCAACCCACUUUCCACCCAUGAAGACCGCGGUGUGAGGACUUGGGAGCCUUGGGUGUUGCACUAGGAUUCAGUCUGUUUAAUUGUAAAACGGCGCAGUGAAGGAAUUACCGUUUAUUCAGAGGCUGACAUGCUGCUGAUUGAGGUACAGAGAAGAGCAAUCAAGAAAAAUGCCAAGACACUAAACUGCGUUUUGAAGGAAGAGUAAGAAUUAAUCAGAGAAGAGGAAGACAGUGUAUUUCAGACAGACUGAGCAGCCUGGGCUGGGCCCACAUGACAGAACAGGGCAGUAGGGAGAAGCGCAAGGAAGUCACUGUGCAGGUGGGGAGGACCCACUGUAGUGGCUCUGAUGAGACCAUGAUGAGACCAUCCUACUGAAAAUGGAAAGCCACUGGAAACUUUUAAACUGGGUGCGCACACG
Non-coding RNA from Sus scrofa (pig), 680 nucleotides. The record is from RefSeq and is a predicted model, not a curated record. Lineage: Eukaryota; Metazoa; Chordata; Mammalia; Artiodactyla; Suidae.